AAAUUGAAGAGUUUGAUCAUGGCUCAGAUUGAACGCUGGCGGCAGGCCUAACACAUGCAAGUCGAACGGUAACAGGAAGCAGCUUGCUGCUUCGCUGACGAGUGGCGGACGGGUGAGUAAUGUCUGGGAAACUGCCUGAUGGAGGGGGAUAACUACUGGAAACGGUAGCUAAUACCGCAUAAUGUCGCAAGACCAAAGAGGGGGACCUUCGGGCCUCUUGCCAUCGGAUGUGCCCAGAUGGGAUUAGCUUGUUGGUGGGGUAAC
Molecule: ribosomal RNA, 264 nt
Filed under: Escherichia coli
Lineage: Bacteria; Pseudomonadati; Pseudomonadota; Gammaproteobacteria; Enterobacterales; Enterobacteriaceae
Also listed under: 1 other name
Description: partial 16S ribosomal RNA
Rfam family: Bacterial small subunit ribosomal RNA
Source: RNAcentral